Molecule: ribosomal RNA, 271 nt
Filed under: uncultured archaeon
Lineage: Archaea
Description: partial 16S ribosomal RNA
Rfam family: Archaeal small subunit ribosomal RNA
Source: RNAcentral
CAGCGCCACGAGUGGCAAUCACAUUUAUUGGGCCUAAAGCGUCCGUAGCCGGUUUGAUAAAUCUUUUGUGAAAUCGUACAGCUUAACUGAACGGCGUGCAGAAGACACUAUCAAACUAGGGACCGGGAGGAGUCAGAGGUAUGCCGGGGGGAGCGGUAAAAUGCUAUAAUCCCUGGUAGACCACCUGUGGCGAAGGCGUCUGACUAGAACGGAUCUGACGGUGAGGGACGAAAGCUAGGGGAGCGAACCGGAUUAGAGACCCGUGUAGUCC